GACGAACGCUGGCGGCGUGGAUUAGGCAUGCAAGUCGCGCGACGCAGAGGAGCAAUCCUUUGACGGAGCGGCGAACGGGUGAGUAACACGUGAACAACCUGUCCCUACGUUCCGGAUAAUUGACCGAAAGGUCUUGUAAUACGGGGGAGGGUCCGUGGUGGGGCGAUCUCAUUAGGAAGGAACGCGCAAGCGGCGGCGGGGAGGGGUUCGGCGGAUUAUCAGCUUGUUGGUGAGGUAAUGGCCACCAAGGCGACGACGAUUAGCUGGUCUGAGAGGAUGGGUCAGCCACAUUGGAACUGGAGACACUGUCCAGACUCCGUACGGGAGGCUGCAGUCGAGAAUCUUGGGCAA
RNAcentral lists this ribosomal RNA (351 nucleotides) under uncultured bacterium. Its description in RNAcentral is "bacterial SSU rRNA". It matches the Rfam family "Bacterial small subunit ribosomal RNA", at positions 28 to 371 of the family's 1533-position model. The record is from RNAcentral.